Molecule: non-coding RNA, 28 nt
Filed under: Rattus norvegicus (Norway rat)
Lineage: Eukaryota; Metazoa; Chordata; Mammalia; Rodentia; Muridae
Source: RNAcentral
GUGACACUUUUAAUCUCCUACAACCCAC